GAGUACCACGGGGCACGAGGAACCUUGUGGGAAGCAGGGGGGACCACCCUCCAAGGCGAAAUACUGAUAUGGACCGAUAGCGCAAAGUACCGUGAGGGAACGGUGAAAAGAACCCCGGGAGGGGAAUGAAAGAGAACCUGAAACCGUAUGUCUACAAGCAGUCGAAGCACGAUGCAGGUGCGACGGCGUGCCUAUUGAAGAAUGAACCGGCGAGUUAUUUUUUUCGGCGAGGUUAAGCGGCAGACGCGGAGCCGAAGCGAAAGCGAGUCUGAAGAGGGCGCGCAGUCGAAAGGAAUAGACCCGAAACCACAGUGAUCUAUCCAUGCCCAGGUUGAAGCACAGGUAAAAAUGUGUGGAGGACCGAACCAGUGAGCGUUGAAAAGCUUUUGGAUGAGGUGUGGAUAGGGGUGAAAUGCCAAUCGAACGUGGAGAUAGCUGGUUCUCCCCGAAAUAGCUUUAGGGCUAGCCUCAUGAAAAGAGUACAGGCGGUAGAGCACUGAACAGGGAAGGGGCCGAGCGGUUACCGAACCUAAUCAAACUACGAAUGGCUGUACUUAUGCAUGGGAGUCAGACUGCGAGUGAUAAGACCCGCAGUCAAGAGGGAAACAGCCCAGACCAACAGCUAAGGUCCCGAAUGCCGUACUAAGUGGCAAAGGAGGUGGCGUUUCGAAAACAACCAGGAUGUUGGCUCAGAAGCAGCCAUCAUUAAAAGAGUGCGUAAUAGCUCACUGGUCGAGAGACGCGGCGCCGAAGAUGACCGGGGCUGAAGUACGGAACCGAAGCUUUGGCAUGUAUGGAGACAUACAUGGGUAGGGGAGCGUUCCUGCGUGGGAGAAGCCUGACCGGAAGGACAGGUGGACAGGCAGGAAGCGAGAAUGCCGGUAUGAGUAGCGAAAAGAAAGGUGGGAAUCCUUUCCACCGAAAGCCUAAGGGUUCCUGGGCAACGAUCGUCGACCCAGGGUAAGUCGGGGCCUAAUCCGAGGCGCAGACGCAUAGGAGAUGGACAACAGGUUGAAAUUCCUGUACCGACACCGUCCGAUAGAGCGAGGGAGUGACACAAGAAGGAACGUUCGCAUGCGAAUGGAAGAGCAUGUCCAAGCCGGUAGGUGGCGUAUCAGGCAAAUCCGGUACGCCGAAAGCCGAGAGGUGAUGGGGAGGCUGUAGGGAUACAGAGGAAGGAACGGGGACUCAAUUGUCAAGAAAAGCUUCUAGCGAGGACGGUGGCGCCCGUACCGAAACCGACACAGGUAGGCAGGACGAGAAUUCUAAGGUGCGCGGGAAACCCCUCGUUAAGGAACUCGGCAAAAUGUAUCCGUAACUUCGGGAAAAGGAUAACCCAGAGUAGGUGAAGGAUAGAAACGGCCGGAGCCGAAAUGGGUGGCACAAGAGAGGCCCAAGCGACUGUUUAGCACAAACACAGGCGUCUGCGAAAGAGAAAUCUGAAGUAUAGAUGCUGACACCUGCCCGGUGCUGGAAGGUUAAGAGGACGUGUGAGCCGCAAGGCGAAGCAGAGAAUUGAAGCCCCAGUAAACGGCGGCCGUAACUAUAACGGUCCUAAGGUAGCGAAAUUCCUUGUCGGGUAAGUUCCGACCCGCACGAAAGGUGUAACGAUUUGGGCACUGUCUCAACGAGGGACCCGGUGAAAUUGAAGUACCUGUGAAGAUGCAGGUUACCCGCGACUGGACAGAAAGACCCCAUGGAGCUUUACUGCAACCUGAGAUGGGAUUUGGGUAUAAGACGUACAGGAUAGUUGGGAGGCGCGGAAGUGAGGACGGCAGUUUUCACGGAGCCGACGGUGGGAUACCAACCUUGUUGUACUGAAAUUCUAACGAGAGCCGUAACGAGGCUUCGGACAGUCUCAGGCGGGCAGUUUGACUGGGGCGGUCGCCUCCGAAAGAGCAACGGAGGCGCCCAAAGGUUCCCUCAGCGCGGACGGAAACCGCGCGCAGAGUGUAAAGGCAGAAGGGAGCUUGACUGCGAGACGGACAGGUCGAGCAGGGACGAAAGUCGGGCUUAGUGAUCCGGUGGUGCCGAGUGGAAGGGCCAUCGCUCAACGGAUAAAAGCUACCCUGGGGAUAACAGGCUAAUCUCUCCCAAGAGUCCAUAUCGACGGGGAGGUUUGGCACCUCGAUGUCGGCUCAUCACAUCCUGGGGCUG
This 2157-nucleotide ribosomal RNA is filed under the name human gut metagenome. RNAcentral describes it as "bacterial LSU rRNA". It matches the Rfam family "Bacterial large subunit ribosomal RNA", at positions 410 to 2555 of the family's 2925-position model. The record is from RNAcentral.